Molecule: ribosomal RNA, 700 nt
Filed under: Escherichia coli
Lineage: Bacteria; Pseudomonadati; Pseudomonadota; Gammaproteobacteria; Enterobacterales; Enterobacteriaceae
Description: partial 23S ribosomal RNA
Rfam family: Bacterial large subunit ribosomal RNA
Source: RNAcentral
CUUUACUAUAGCUUGACACUGAACAUUGAGCCUUGAUGUGUAGGAUAGGUGGGAGGCUUUGAAGUGUGGACGCCAGUCUGCAUGGAGCCGACCUUGAAAUACCACCCUUUAAUGUUUGAUGUUCUAACGUUGGCCCCUAAUCGGGGUUGCGGACAGUGUCUGGUGGGUAGUUUGACUGGGGCGGUCUCCUCCUAAAGAGUAACGGAGGAGCACGAAGGUUGGCUAAUCCUGGUCGGACAUCAGGAGGUUAGUGCAAUGGCAUAAGCCAGCUUGACUGCGAGCGUGACGGCGCGAGCAGGUGCGAAAGCAGGUCAUAGUGAUCCGGUGGUUCUGAAUGGAAGGGCCAUCGCUCAACGGAUAAAAGGUACUCCGGGGAUAACAGGCUGAUACCGCCCAAGAGUUCAUAUCGACGGCGGUGUUUGGCACCUCGAUGUCGGCUCAUCACAUCCUGGGGCUGAAGUAGGUCCCAAGGGUAUGGCUGUUCGCCAUUUAAAGUGGUACGCGAGCUGGGUUUAGAACGUCGUGAGACAGUUCGGUCCCUAUCUGCCGUGGGCGCUGGAGAACUGAGGGGGGCUGCUCCUAGUACGAGAGGACCGGAGUGGACGCAUCACUGGUGUUCGGGUUGUCAUGCCAAUGGCACUGCCCGGUAGCUAAAUGCGGAAGAGAUAAGUGCUGAAAGCAUCUAAGCACGAAACUUGCC